RNAcentral lists this ribosomal RNA (332 nucleotides) under uncultured eukaryote. RNAcentral's name for it is "partial 18S ribosomal RNA". It matches the Rfam family "Eukaryotic small subunit ribosomal RNA", at positions 1470 to 1796 of the family's 1831-position model. The record is from RNAcentral.
CCCUUAGAUGUUCUGGGCUGCACACGUGCUACACUGGCAGGUUCAGCGAGCUUCAUGCCCUGAUCUGAAAGGAAUGGGAAAUCUUUUCAAAACCUGCCGUGCUUGGGAUAGAUGUUUGCAAUUAUUCAUCUUCAACGAGGAUUGCCUUGUAAGCGCACGUCAUCAGCGUGCAUUGAAUACGACCCUGUAUUCUGUACACACCGCCCGUCGCUCCUACCGAUUGAAGUUUUCGGUGAGUUGACAGGAGGAUUUUUUUGAAACUGGUUCGCCAGUGGCUUUUAGAUCCAAAUGCCAACGAAUCGAUGGCUUUAGAGGAAGGAGAAGUCGUAACA